GUGCCGGCCGGGGUCGUGUUUUGGGGUCUGCAAGAGCCAGAAAAUGUCUGCAGAGCCCCUGACUCUUUUGUGGAAGUCUAAAGACUCUUUGGGGAAUUCUAAAGGGGAGCGGGAGGAGAUUGGAAGGUGAGGGUUGAGUGGCCUGAAGCCCUGCAGUGAAGGGCCCGAGACAUCUGAUGUUUCUGCAGGUUUUCUGCUGGUUUCUUGCUCCUUGUUCUUGUAUCCGGUGCUGGUACUCCCCUUGCCACAGAGGUCAUGGAGAGCCUGGUGUAGCAAUGGGACUGUGCCCCUUGGGCCGUGCAGGGGUUUGUGUUGGUGAACAUUGUCUGUGUGGGUAACAGAAAGGACUCUCCUCCUUACUGCCCUAGGAGCCAGAGCAUCUGUGGCAUUUCUUUAGUCUUCAGUAAAGAUCUUCAGUGAGUUACCAACCCUGGGAGUCAGGAUAUGAGCAGCCUCCAAAGUCUGUAAAGAAAGAAGUAAAGUAACUGUUGGGCCAUCAGAGUGGAUGUCAGUGUCAGCCACGGGGAGAUGGAAUAAUGCUCUCACUGCUGGAAGAGUCACCUCCAUUCAGGUUUGUAUGUGAGGCUGAGAGGAGUCACCUUGUGUAUCUCAUUAUCUUACCCUGGCUGGAAUAUCUGCUAGGAGGCAGAAGAGCCCUCCCAGGCACAUCACCUGCUGAAUUCAACAAACACUUGUCAAAAACAAAGAUUGACCAGAAAUAUUGUCACUUAUAAAAGCAUUCUUUUAUACUAACUAUAGUAAAAAUAGCCCUAUAUAAAAGGGAAUCAAACCUUUGGACAGUGCUGUUUCAAUAGAGGCCUUCAAAAAAAACACUUCCUAUGUGAUGAAAGAGAAAUGCUCAAAAAUCCCUUCAGGAAUACCUACAAUUCCUUAUGGAUACCUAAUGAAAAUAUAUUAGAACUGAGCAAGUACCAAAAAAAGCUUGAUGAACUGACUGUAACAAAAUAUCCAGUGAUGAAAAGCUCUGCAGACUUUUCUUGCCAGCUCUGGCAAGUAAGUAGUUUUGCUAAAUAGAAGGAAAGCAGAAGAUACAGCUAUCAACUGCAAACGAAUGAUUAUAAACCAGAAAGAAAAUGUGGGGAAGAGCUCUGAAAAUUAUGAUUGACAGUGACAACACAGACCAGACAGCUUUUAUUUUAAGCAACAGAUUGUUGGGAACAUACACCGUAUAUCAAAGUGAAGGACUUGAAACCUGCUGUAGUCUGUACAGAUGUUCUCACUCAGAAAGCAGCUAGAGGGAACAGAAGAUAAAAGAAGGCUGUCCAACUUCAAAAAAGGUUUGAAUUUUCAUUCUGUUUUGACAAGUUUUUAUGCUAGUCUCUGAUUUUUAGUGUGGUAGAAAAUUCAGCAUCUACAAACCUGACCUAAAGUGAGAAACACCUGAAGGGGUACAAGCAAACCCUUAAGAAGGUGCUAUACAACAUCAUGAAAUAGUUUUUGUUGUUUUAAUCUUAAAUGCUUUUAUACAAAAAUUGGAAAUGCUGUAACUGUUGUAGCUCUGGAGCAGGUCAUACGUGCUUGCAGUCAGCAGUACCUGGAAUUCAAGGAUGAGAUCUAAGAGGCCAUUGAGGAAUCCCUGCUGCAGAAAAUACAUUUUUAUGAUACAAAGCAAGGCAGGAUUACUGAGCUCAGAAGGGUUAUUUGUGAAUAACUUCCAGCUAAAGUGAUUAAGGGCUUCAGCCACUAGCCCCAGAAAAAACCAACAAAGAGCAUCAAAAACAUCCUGCAUGUCAUUGCUGCUGGCUUUUUGUUCAAUGAGCAAGAGGUCUGUGUUGGUUUUGGUCCUUUGCCCUUGGGGGCACUUUUAACAAAACAUAAUACUUGAAAGAAUUCCAAAAUGUGUUUGUUUUUUUUUUUAUUUUCUUUGAACUAGAAGGUUAAAGAUAAAUAAAGGAGUAUUUUGAUAUGUCUGAAAAAUACUUGUGAUAACAAAUAGACAAAGCACUUCCUAACGUUCAAGACUUAAAAGUGCACUUUACAAACAUGCCACAGUUCUUGAUGGCAAAAACCCCAUCCAAUGCCUUUUCUUUUUUUUUAAUGUAAGGUAAAGCACUCCAUCCUGUUUUAAAAAAUCAUCUCUCUGAGAAAUGUGAAUAUCUUCAGCAGAAUCUUUGGUACUUGUGUUUGGUUUAAGGUUUUGGGGUUUUUAAAUUUUAAGCUGCUACAAUAUCUGCCAGAAAAAGCAAGAGCCAAGAAACAUGCUGAAGAGAUAAAUGUUGUGAUGAGUGCAAAUUGGUAAGAAGUUCCUCUGGCAAUCCCAGAUUUGCAGAGAGGAAAUUUGGGCUCCUGUACAGAUGAAUUGCUCUUACAGAAUUUUACAGUAUGAGAUGAACAAAGAGACUACCACAAAGUCAUAGGCCACCAACUUAAAUCUGACUUCAAAGCAUUUCAGAUCCUCAUAGGAAGAGAUUGGGAUAUGCAGAGUAGCCUGUCUAUUUCUGAGUUUAUUUGCAAAAGUAUUCUGAGUUCCUUAACAUUCUCCAUUGCAGGAAUCAUGCCCAAUAUAUAAAUAUAUGUGAAACUAUUGAUAAACCAUCUGAAAGUGAUGACAACAUGAGUAAUUAAGGCUGUGUCACACCACUGUCACAGUGGGUGGCUGGAACAUCUUGGGCAAAGGUUGCAAUUUCCUAUUUCAGGAUCUGCCAUACAAAUUCCAAAAGCCAUGAGGAACCCACAGUGAUGUGCAGGGAGCACUGAUAGCACUUUCUUAACCAUGAAGGUCUAGCCACAUGCCAGAACUUUAUAGAACUUCAUUACAUUUAUUAUAUUCAAUUUUUUCCUCUUUCCUUUAUUUCUGUUUAAAUGCUUGUUUUGAGGGGAAAUAUGAUCUCAGCAUUCAUUAUGACAAAAAAAGUGCACAUUAAUUUUGUACUCAGAGUAUCAGCCUGUUCUUCAGGGCUGCUAAUACCAGUUCUUUUCAGAAUACAGCUCAUAACAAUAACAUUCUUCCUCAAAACUAUCACUUGUGGCAGCAAGGGAUCCCCAGACCAAACAGAAACUAAGUUUUUUGAGUCUAGAAUCAAAAGGUCACCUGAUAGCAGCUUUCAGAAGAGAGAUUUCUGAAGGGUAAAUGGCUCUUGUUUAAAGGUUUUUAAUGUUCAACAUUUAGCAGAGGUUACAUGUUUAUUCUACUAUUAAUGGGAAUAUUUCAUUCAAUGGAAACAAAAGCUCUGGCAUAUCUGUUAAUAUCAUGGUGUGCAGAGAAACACCCAGCAGUGUUUGUCCUGGAUGAUGCAAGAGUUGCUGUGGCCAUUACAUGUAUUUACCAUGGUUUGCUUUCCCCUUUAAAAUGAAGCUGUGCUGUAAGAUUGGAGCUGGUUAUUGAGGAAAUAUCUUGAAACUGCAUUGAAAGCAACUGGCUUGUUAAGGCUUCUCACUAAAAUAAAGUGUGUAAAAAGAAUGCCCAUUAAUAACUACUGGUGGCUAACAUCAUUAAACUAGCUUUGAGUUCACAUACUAGAUUUCCAAGCUCAGGUGCAGGCAUUGAGCCCUUUUAUCCUCACAGAGGUUUUAAAUUUGUUUGGUUUCUGUAAACACACAUCUCCCAAAUUGUACCUCUGGAAAAGCCACUCCCUGUCUGACUUCACCUUGGCAGAAACACAAUCUCUUCAAGUACAAUUUAUGCAGUGGAAAAUUGGAAUGAGAAGCACCAGAACUACCUCUUGUCUUUAAAAAAAAAGAUUUUUAUUUCUGUUUUUAAAUAGCUUGACAAAACCCAUCCAUUGGUACUCUGAGUUCAAAUGUAAACAGUUACAAUACAUUACUGCUGUGUAUUGAUUUUGUACAUUAACCUAUUUGCAGUGACAAUCCAUAAGACAAGGCAAACUGAAAUGCACUGUACCAAGAUGUACUAACUGAAAAUACUCCAAAGACUGAUGUGGAACUCCCUCCUGUGGUGUGAGUGAGCAGCUUCACCCUCAACAGCUCCUGGCAGCUUGGGGAGCACGCCCCAUAUUCCAAAGCCUCUCUUCAGCUUUCAAGUCUACUGUGGAAACUUCUCUCCCAAGUUAAAAGUGUCACAAUACAUUUUUAAAAUACAUACAAAGUUGUAAACAUCUUUCUCUGGAACAAAAAAAAAAAAAAAAAAUGGUUUGUGCCAGCCUUCUCCACCUCCCACAUUACAAUAAAAAUAAUAAUAAUAAAAAAAUAGGGCCAAAGACCAAGGCCAUAGACUGAAAUUGUUCUGCAGGGAUGACAUCACAGUUUACAGGAAGUAUUGAGUAUCAGCAUAAAAUUAGUCAGCAUCAGGCAGCAGAACACAUUUCCAAGAAAUGGUUUCACUCAACUUCAAGUGAUGAAUCAGGCACUGAAUAUUUGAUUUCCCUACUUUUAAGAACAAAAGCUUAAAUUACAUUUAGGUAUUAUGUUUGAUAAUAGCUAAAAUUGACUACAAACAGAAAAUGAAACACUGAUACUUUUGCAAGUUUGGGUUUUGACCACUUUUGCUGUCAGGUUUAUAGCAAUCUUCCAUGAAGAAGGAAAGGAAUUUGCAAAACAGACUACAUAUAUAGAGAUCACACAAAUAAAAUAGACCUUUUCAAGGCAGAUUUUCUUUGUGGAAGUCCCUCUGGUCAUUUUCUAAAAUGUUUUAGCUUUUAAAUUGAUUUCAUCAUUAACCAUGAAAUAACCAUCUUAGUCUGAAUCUUGUAUCACUACUUCCAAAAAUACCAAGAUAAUUAAGAUUUUGGGAUGCAGUAGAGGAUUAAUUUCAAAGUACAAUAGGAUUUGCUCUUACCAGUGAAGGCUGGUAAAGGAUAGCAUUAUUCUAGCACUUCUGAAUUUAUUAUUCUUGUUUUCACACUGUCAGGAGAUUGAUAUCUAUGACCUUGUAAUUUAAGUAUGACAGUUGAUCAUAAAUAUCAGUACUUUUAUAGGCAACAUUUGGUUUAUUUUAAAGUUCUAGCAAGUGCAGCUCUUCCUUGAGGAUUAGAGGCUCUGCAGUCUAAAAGGGUUCUCCCCCCACCCCCAGUUACUGGUUGUAACAGAAACAAGUGGCAGAGCACAUUUUAUUCUGUGCACUUUUUUUGGGGAAAAAACAGGUUUCAAAAUAUUCACCUACUCUUUAAUGUACUCUUCAAUUUUUUGAAAAGUUACACUAAGUUCUAACCUUCAUGUGUUUUAUAAGCCCCAGAUUCUAGCUGCAAUUCUCAGCUGUCAGAGGUACCACAUACUCGAAUUAAACACUGGAUUUUACUGAAGCAGCUGUUUUGAAGAGAAAAAAAGCAGAAAUAACUCACAUUGACUACACACUGCUCUGUCAGUUAUACCACCUGUCAUACACCCUGAUGAGAGACUAUGGACUCUCACAUCUCUACAUGGUUUCUGUCAAUUUGUUGUGCAUAAUUAAUUACAGGACAAUGUUUCUGAGGUGGAACAAAAUAUCAGCAUAUGCUUAUGCUGAGAAAUUAUAGGGAGAGAAAUAUGUGCAUGACCAGGCCAUAAAAACAAAAGGAGCAACCUGACAAUAAGAUUAUAUAUUAGGAGUACAUACAGGCUUGCUUCUUCCAAAAAUGAAAUGUGUAUACCUGUAAGGGGCAAAGGUGGUGAGAAGGAGAAAGGAAGCAAACUUUGGCAAAGUUUAAGAAAGUGCUGUCUUUACAGUCCUAAUAAUAACUUAAAAAAAAAAA
Non-coding RNA from Zonotrichia albicollis (white-throated sparrow), 5648 nucleotides. The record is from RefSeq and is a predicted model, not a curated record. Lineage: Eukaryota; Metazoa; Chordata; Aves; Passeriformes; Passerellidae.